UACGUAGGGUGCGAGCGUUGCCCGGAUUUAUUGGGCGUAAAGGGCGCGUAGGCGGUGCCGUACGUCCGUUGUGAAAUCGCUCGGCUCAACUGGGCGGGGUCAGCGGAUACGGUGGCACUUGAGCAAGCUAGGGGGCAAUGGAAUUCCCGGUGUAGUGGUGGAAUGCGUAGAUAUGCGGAGGAACACCGAUGGCGAAGGCAAUCCCCUGGACCUGUACUGACGCUCAUGCACGAAAGCGUGGGGAGCAAACAGG
This 253-nucleotide ribosomal RNA is filed under the name uncultured bacterium. RNAcentral describes it as "partial 16S ribosomal RNA". It matches the Rfam family "Bacterial small subunit ribosomal RNA", at positions 524 to 776 of the family's 1533-position model. The record is from RNAcentral.